GCAUCCUACGGGGCGCAGCAGUGGGGAAUAUUGGGCAAUGGGCGCAAGCCUGACCCAGCAACGCCGCGUGAAGGAAGAAGGCCCUCGGGUUGUAAACUUCUUUUAACAGGGACGAAGAAAGUGACGGUACCUGUUGAAUAAGCCACGGCUAACUACGUGCCAGCAGCCGCGGUAAUACGUAGGGGGCAAGCGUUAUCCGGAUUUACUGGGUGUAAAGGGAGCGUAGACGGCAGCGCAAGUCUGAAGUGAAAUCCCAUGGCUUAACCAUGGAACUGCUUUGGAAACUGUGCAGCUGGAGUGCAGGG
Molecule: ribosomal RNA, 305 nt
Filed under: uncultured bacterium
Lineage: Bacteria
Description: bacterial SSU rRNA
Rfam family: Bacterial small subunit ribosomal RNA
Source: RNAcentral